RNAcentral lists this ribosomal RNA (257 nucleotides) under Escherichia coli. RNAcentral's name for it is "partial 23S ribosomal RNA". It matches the Rfam family "Bacterial large subunit ribosomal RNA", at positions 2692 to 2925 of the family's 2925-position model. Lineage: Bacteria; Pseudomonadati; Pseudomonadota; Gammaproteobacteria; Enterobacterales; Enterobacteriaceae. The record is from RNAcentral.
CGGGAGUGGACGCAUCACUGGUGUUCGGGUUGUCAUGCCAAUGGCACUGCCCGGUAGCUAAAUGCGGAAGAGAUAAGUGCUGAAAGCAUCUAAGCACGAAACUUGCCCCGACGAUGAGUUCUCCCUGACUCCUUGAGAGUCCUGAAGGAACGUUGAAGACGACGACGUUGAUAGGCCGGGUGUGUAAGCGCAGCGAUGCGUUGAGCUAACCGGUACUAAUGAACCGUGAGGCUUAACCUUACAACGCCGAAGCUGUU